RNAcentral lists this transfer RNA (90 nucleotides) under Gnomoniopsis smithogilvyi. It matches the Rfam family "tRNA". From Rfam's summary of the family: Transfer RNA (tRNA) molecules are approximately 80 nucleotides in length. Their secondary structure includes four short double-helical elements and three loops (D, anti-codon, and T loops). The record is from Rfam by way of RNAcentral. Lineage: Eukaryota; Fungi; Ascomycota; Sordariomycetes; Diaporthales; Gnomoniaceae.
GGUUCGUUGGCCCAAUGGCAAGGCGUCUGACUACGAUUUCUUCAAGAAAAAGGCAUCAGGAGAUUGCAGGUUCGAUCCCUGCACGAAUCA